This 76-nucleotide transfer RNA is filed under the name Candidatus Dojkabacteria bacterium. Its description in RNAcentral is "tRNA-Lys". It matches the Rfam family "tRNA". From Rfam's summary of the family: Transfer RNA (tRNA) molecules are approximately 80 nucleotides in length. The record is from RNAcentral.
GGGGCGCUAGCUCAUCCGGUAGAGCAACUGGCUUUUAACCAGUAGGUGCGGGGUUCGAGUCCCCGGCGCCUCACCA